GUACUGUACAUAUAUACACACUGUACUGUACAUAUAUACACACACAGUACUGUACAUAUAUACACACACCGUACUGUACAUAUAUACACACACAGUACUGUACAUAUACACACACACCGUACUGUACAUAUAUACACACACACAGAACUGUACAUAUAUACACACACAGUACUGUACAUAUACACACUGUACUGUACAUAUACACACACACCGUACUGUACAUAUAUACACACACCGUACUGUACAUAUAUACACACACCGUACUGUACAUAUAUACACACACAGUACUGUACAUACACACACAGUACUGUACAUAUACACACACACCAUACUGUACAUAUACACACACACCGUACUGUACAUAUACACACACAGUAC
Long non-coding RNA from Ictalurus punctatus (channel catfish), 378 nucleotides. NCBI's taxonomy places the organism in Eukaryota, Metazoa, Chordata, Actinopteri, Siluriformes, Ictaluridae. The record is from Ensembl.